CACAGAUUUUUGAAUCCUUACAAGAUUCAUGAAAGCUAGUAGCCAGAAAGGGGGCAGUUCUUUUCUAAUUGCAGCAUGAAUUAAAUCUUUAUGCUUUCUCUGUUCUUAGGCUUUAGCUUGGCACAGAAGCCAUUUGGAGCAACAUAUGUCUGGAGCAGCAUUAUCAAUGCGCUUCAAACCCAAGUGGAAGUGAAGAAGCGUCGCCAGAACCUGAAAUGCUAUCAUGACUGUUUUAUUGGUUCAGAUGCAGUGGAUGUUGUCUUUGCCCAUCUUCUACAGAACAAGUAUUUUGGGGAUGUUGAUAUUUCCCGUGCUAAAAUAGUGCGUGUAUGUCAAGCGCUGAUGGAUUACAAAGUAUUUGAGGCUGUUUCAACUAGGGUCUUUGGAAAAGACAAGCGGUCUGUAUUUGAAGACAGCAGCAGUAGCCUCUACAGAUUCACAAAUGUCUCUAACCAAAUGGAAUUUGAUAAAGAUUACCAGCAGUGUACCCCACAAAGACAUGAGAAGAGCAUGUUGUUUGACUCUACUCCUGUCAAACCAGAAAGCUUGGAGGAUCUGUGGGAAAACCUGAGUUUAAAGCCUGCAAAUACCCCUCAAGUAAACGUCUCUGAUAGGUUGUCCCGUCGAGUUAUUAAUGAAGUAUGGCAAGAACAAACAGUUGCUCGCCUGCUGCAGCUUGUAGACCUUCCACUCCUUGAGUCUUUACUUGAGCACCAAGAGAUCAGACCUCAGCUUCCACAACCAAGGAAGGAAACUGGAUAUGUCAUCUCAAGUAACUACCUAGACAGGGAGAUUCUCAAGGCUUUCAGUGACUCACAAACAGAUGAAUGGCUCUCAGCGGCAAUAGAUUGCUUGGAAUAUCUUCCAGAUCAUAUGGUAGUAGAUAUUAGCAGGAACUUGCCUGAUCAACCAGAUAAAGCAGACACAUGGAAAUUACUGCUGUUUGAAAACAUUGGUAGAUACUACAGCCAAAAAAAGGAGCCGCUGUUAAGUCACGCAUCUGAAAUUCAUUCAGGAAUUGCAGAACUAUUGGUGAAUGGGAAGAUGGAGCAAUCUUUAGAAGCUGUUCAACUCUAUUUGAAGCUUCUAGACAGCCAAAUCAGGGAGGAGUUCAGAAGACUACUGUACUUCAUGGCUGUUGCAGCACAUAAUUCUGAGCUCAAACUACAGAAGGAGAGUGACAACAGGAUGGUUGUGAAAAGAACGUUCUCUAAAGCUAUUAUCAACAAUAAAACCUUAUCCAGAGGGAAAACUGACCUCCUGAUCUUGUUCCUUGUGGAUCACCAAAAAGAUGUGUUAAAGAUCCCAGGGACACUGCAUAAAAUGGUCAGCAACAAACUGGUGGCUUUGCAGAAAGGCCAAGAUCCUAGUAAGAUACCAGGCUAUACCUUCUGCCAAAAACUUGAUGAAAGAGAGUAUCGCUCCACUACUGAGAAGACCACAAAAGAUGAGCUGUUAUCUCUACUGAAAGCUAUUGAUGAAGAUUCAAAGCUCUCUGACAAAGAGAGAAAGAGACUGCUAGAACCAGCUGAAAAUGUCUCAGAAUCCUGACAAGCCACAUUCAAGUGAAGAAAAGUUGAGUGGUUUGGAGGAUGGCCAAGUGGAGAGCUUGGACAACCCGGAUCGAUCUAUCAGAAAAAGAAUACAACAGAGUGCUUCAGGGUCACACAGAGAUGAUACUCCAAAGGGUUUGGCGCUUUGUCCUACUCGCUUGUAUGCCCCAGGGCCCAAUUUGAAGCUGCUUCUUCAUCCUUGUCAGUCCCAAGUGCCUGCCAGAGGAAGAAGUCUUAGGCAUUGGUGUGGGACUGGGUCUGGACGUCCUUUGUCACUUGGACGAUGGCCUCUGGGGAAAAAGAAUUUGGAGAAGUGCCGGUUGCACUGGAAGUAGUGAGAAUAAUUAGCUACUACUAGUCCUCCUCGGCCUGUGUCAAUAGAAGAGCUCAUGGAAACAGCUAAGGGAGUAACCAACAUGGCCUUAGCACACGAAAUCGUUGUUAAUGGAGACUUCCAGAUAAAACCAGCUGAAUUACCAGAACACAGGUAAGA
RNA transcript from Egretta garzetta (little egret), 2046 nucleotides. It is a transcript of the gene named DEP domain containing 7, with no coding region annotated. The record is from RefSeq and is a predicted model, not a curated record. The transcript has 11 exons. Lineage: Eukaryota; Metazoa; Chordata; Aves; Pelecaniformes; Ardeidae.